Molecule: ribosomal RNA, 1356 nt
Filed under: metagenome
Description: bacterial LSU rRNA
Rfam family: Bacterial large subunit ribosomal RNA
Source: RNAcentral
CGAGUCCGAGUGUCUACGGACGCGAAGUAGUGGAGUCAAGCUUCCCAGAAAAGCUCGGUGGCACGUUAAGCCAAAAUUACCUGUACCCGAAACCGACACAGGUAGGGAGGUUGAGAAUACCAAGGGGCGCGAGAUAACUCUCUCUAAGGAACUCGGCAAAAUGGCCCCGUAACUUCGGAAGAAGGGGUGCCCACCUAAGACGUGGAUCGCAGUGAAGAGAUCCAGGCGACUGUUUACCAAAAACACAGGUCUCCGCCAAGUCAAACGACGAAGUAUGGGGGCUGACGCCUGCCCAGUGCCGGAAGGUUAAGGAAGUCGGUCAGGGCGCAAGCCUAAAGCUGGCGACUGAAGCCCCGGUGAACGGCGGCCGUAACUAUAACGGUCCUAAGGUAGCGAAAUUCCUUGUCGGGUAAGUUCCGACCCGCACGAAAGGCGUAACGAUCUGGAUGGUGUCUCAGAGAGAGACUCGGCGAAAUAGGAAUGUCUGUGAAGAUACGGACUGCCUGCACCUGGACAGAAAGACCCUAUGAAGCUUUACUGUAGCCUGUAAUUGGCUCCGGGCUGUGUUUGCGCAGGAUAGGUGGGAGGCAUUGAGAUUGUCCUUGUGGGGACAAUGGAGCCAACGGUGAGAUACCACUCUAACACAGCUAGGAUUCUAACUUGGCACCGUAAUCCGGUACGAGAACAGUUGCAGGUGGGCAGUUUGACUGGGGCGGUCGCCUCCUAAACGGUAACGGAGGCGCGCAAAGGUUCCCUCAGCACGCUUGGAAACCGUGCAUAGAGUGUAAAGGCAUAAAGGGAGCUUGACUGCAAGAGCGACAACUCAAGCAGGGACGAAAGUCGGCCUUAGUGAUCCGACGGCACUGAGUGGAAGGGCCGUCGCUCAACGGAUAAAAGUUACUCUAGGAUAACAGGCUGAUCUCCUCCAAGAGUUCACAUCGACGAGGAGGUUUGGCACCUCGAUGUCGGCUCAUCGCAACCUGGGGCGGAAGUACGUCCCAAGGGUUGGGCUGUUCGCCCAUUAAAGCGGUACGUGAGCUGGGUUCAGAACGUCGUGAGACAGUUCGGUCCAUAUCCGGUGCAGGCGUAAGAGCAUUGAGAGGAGCCCUCCUUAGUACGAGAGGACCGGGAGGGACGCACCGCUGGUGUACCAGUUAUCGUGCCAACGGUAAACGCUGGGUAGCCAAGUGCGGCGCGGAUAACCGCUGAAAGCAUCUAAGUGGGAAGCCCACCUCAAGAUGAGUGCUCUCACUACAAAAGUAGGUAAGGUCACAGGAAGAUUACCUGUUGAUAGGCGCCAGGUGGAAGUGCAGUAUUGCAUGUAGCCGAAGCGUACUAAUAGACCGAGGGCUUGAC